CCAGGCAAUAGACAUCAAUGCCAUUGGCAGAAACCCGAAGCCGAAGAGGAACAUCAACCCUCUCUCCGAGUACUACGUCAGACAUAAAGAUCUAAGGAAAAUUCACAAAGCUGCACUCACAGGCAACGUAGCCGAAGUGCAGCGCAUCCUGUUACUACGUACAAAUAAUUUAAAUGAGAGAGACAAAUAUGAAAGAACUGCUCUACAUUUGGCCUGUGCCAGUGACCAUCCAGAAGUGGUGACUCUUUUGGUAGACAGAAAAUGCCAGCUAGAUCUUCUGGAUGGUUAUCACAAGACAGCCCUAGUAAAGGCUAUCCAGUGCCGGAAUGAAGAGUGUGUGAGCAUUCUUCUAGAGCAUGGAGCCAAUCC
Long non-coding RNA from Tupaia belangeri chinensis (Chinese tree shrew), 369 nucleotides. RefSeq lists it as uncharacterized. The record is from RefSeq and is a predicted model, not a curated record. The transcript has 3 exons. NCBI's taxonomy places the organism in Eukaryota, Metazoa, Chordata, Mammalia, Scandentia, Tupaiidae.